RNAcentral lists this ribosomal RNA (253 nucleotides) under uncultured prokaryote. RNAcentral describes it as "partial 16S ribosomal RNA". It matches the Rfam family "Bacterial small subunit ribosomal RNA", at positions 524 to 776 of the family's 1533-position model. The record is from RNAcentral.
UACGGAGGGUGCUAGCGUUGUUCGGAAUUAUUGGGCGUAAAGAGCGUGUAGGCGGCCUCGUAAGUCAGAUGUGAAAUCCCUUGGCUUAACCGAGGAAGUGCAUUUGAAACUGCUUGGCUUGAGUACGGGAGGGGGAAGCGGAAUUCCCGGUGUAGAGGUGAAAUUCGUAGAUAUCGGGAGGAACACCGGUGGCGAAGGCGGCUUCCUGGACCGAUACUGACGCUGAGACGCGAAAGCGUGGGGAGCAAACAGG